RNAcentral lists this ribosomal RNA (1366 nucleotides) under uncultured bacterium. RNAcentral's name for it is "bacterial SSU rRNA". It matches the Rfam family "Bacterial small subunit ribosomal RNA", at positions 28 to 1381 of the family's 1533-position model. The record is from RNAcentral.
GACGAACGCUGGCGGCGUGCCUAAUACAUGCAAGUAGAACGCUGAAGGAGGAGCUUGCUUCUCCGGAUGAGUUGCGAACGGGUGAGUAACGCGUAGGUAACCUGCCUGGUAGCGGGGGAUAACUAUUGGAAACGAUAGCUAAUACCGCAUAACAGUAGAUGUUGCAUGAUAUCUGCUUGAAAGGUGCAAUUGCAUCACUACCAGAUGGACCUGCGUUGUAUUAGCUAGUUGGUGAGGUAACGGCUUACCAAGGCGACGAUACAUAGCCGACCUGAGAGGGUGAUCGGCCACACUGGGACUGAGACACGGCCCAGACUCCUACGGGAGGCAGCAGUAGGGAAUCUUCGGCAAUGGACGGAAGUCUGACCGAGCAACGCCGCGUGAGUGAAGAAGGUUUUCGGAUCGUAAAGCUCUGUUGUAAGAGAAGAACGAGUGUGAGAGUGGAAAGUUCACACUGUGACGGUAUCUUACCAGAAAGGGACGGCUAACUACGUGCCAGCAGCCGCGGUAAUACGUAGGUCCCGAGCGUUGUCCGGAUUUAUUGGGCGUAAAGCGAGCGCAGGCGGUUAGAUAAGUCUGAAGUUAAGGCUGUGGCUUAACCAUAGUACGCUUUGGAAACUGUUUAACUUGAGUGCAAGAGGGGAGAGUGGAAUUCCAUGUGUAGCGGUGAAAUGCGUAGAUAUAUGGAGGAACACCGGUGGCGAAAGCGGCUCUCUGGCUUGUAACUGACGCUGAGGCUCGAAAGCGUGGGGAGCAAACAGGAUUAGAUACCCUGGUAGUCCACGCCGUAAACGAUGAGUGCUAGGUGUUAGACCCUUUCCGGGGUUUAGUGCCGUAGCUAACGCAUUAAGCACUCCGCCUGGGGAGUACGACCGCAAGGUUGAAACUCAAAGGAAUUGACGGGGGCCCGCACAAGCGGUGGAGCAUGUGGUUUAAUUCGAAGCAACGCGAAGAACCUUACCAGGUCUUGACAUCCCUCUGAGCGCUCUAGAGAUAGAGUUUUCCUUCGGGACAGAGGUGACAGGUGGUGCAUGGUUGUCGUCAGCUCGUGUCGUGAGAUGUUGGGUUGAGUCCCGCAACGAGCGCAACCCCUAUUGUUAGUUGCCAUCAUUUAGUUGGGCACUCUAGCGAGACUGCCGGUAAUAAACCGGAGGAAGGUGGGGAUGACGUCAAAUCAUCAUGCCCCUUAUGACCUGGGCUACACACGUGCUACAAUGGCUGGUACAACGAGUCGCAAGUCGGUGACGGCAAGCUAAUCUCUUAAAGCCAGUCUCAGUUCGGAUUGUAGGCUGCAACUCGCCUACAUGAAGUCGGAAUCGCUAGUAAUCGCGGAUCAGCACGCCGCGGUGAAUACGUUCCCGGGCCU